AACGAACGCUGGCGGCGCGCCUAAUACAUGCAAGUCGAGCGAGAAGGUGUAGCAAUACACUUGUAAAGCGGCGAACGGGUGAGGAAUACAUGGGUGACCUACCAUUGAGUGGGGAAUAACCAGCCGAAAGGCUGGCUAAUACCGCGUACGCUUCCGGAUUUUCGAGUUCGGAAGGAAAGCGAUACCGUGGGUAUCGCGCUCUUUGAUGGGCUCAUGUCCUAUCAGCUUGUUGGAGGGUAACGGCCUACCAAGGCUUUGACGGGUAGCUGGUCUGAGAGGACGAUCAGCCACACUGGCACUGCGACACGGGCCAGACUCCUACGGGAGGCAGCAGUAAGGAAUAUUGCGCAAUGGGCGAAAGCCUGACGCAGCGACGCCGCGUGAGGGAUGACGGCCUCGG
This 400-nucleotide ribosomal RNA is filed under the name uncultured bacterium. Its description in RNAcentral is "bacterial SSU rRNA". It matches the Rfam family "Bacterial small subunit ribosomal RNA", at positions 29 to 420 of the family's 1533-position model. The record is from RNAcentral.